This 887-nucleotide long non-coding RNA is filed under the name Helianthus annuus (common sunflower). RNAcentral describes it as "hypothetical non coding rna". Lineage: Eukaryota; Viridiplantae; Streptophyta; Magnoliopsida; Asterales; Asteraceae. The record is from RNAcentral.
AUAACAAAAAAAACAACAUCAGAGAACAAGUGAACAACAGUCGUCAGCGGCACCUCCACCUUCAGUGACCACCUCCGCUCGCUCCGGCCGUCCUCCUCCGCCGACAGUCGUCCACCUUCAGUGAAAGCAAGACGGGAAUGUGCAAAUCGACAAGUUUAACGGAUUUCUGGAAAGAUUUGGUUGAUUCUGGAAAAGUUUUCGGCUGAUUGACUUGAAGAUUCGAAGACUGUUCUUCGUGUUCUUGAGUUUAUUCAAUCGGUUCUUGAUAAAUUUUCGAAAGGCUUUGAUUUUGCAGGAAGUUGUUAGAAAAUCAGAAAAAUCUUCACAAUUUUCGAACAGAUUGAGUUUCCAUAGUUACUGGGCGAAAUUAACUGUUACUGGGCGAAUUUGACUGAUCUGCGAAUUUAUCCAGCAUAUUUACCGGCGAAAUUAAAAUCCAAAGGCGAUUUUGGUAACUGUGUUAUUUUCCACAGCGAAAUUAUCACGGUUUUCGGCGAAUUUACUAGUCGUCGUAAUAGCGAAGUUGACCAGAGAAUUUGUGAGCUUGACAGCGAAAUAGACCAGCAUAAUUACCAGCAAAUUUAAGUGACCCAGCAAAUUUAACAGCAUAACCUAGCGAAUUUACCAGUUGACCAGCGAAAUUAACUAUUAACCAGCGAAUUUAGCAGCAAAAUUAAGUGGUGAAAUUUCAGUUGGCAAGCGUCGGAAAAUUUUCAGUGUUGUGCAAAUCUGAUCUAGAGGAUUCCGCACUCUAGGUUAGAUAUACAAUUCUGUGAAGAUCCAUAACAUCAAGGGGACCUACAAUUGGUAUUCAGUGUUUUGCAAAUAGAAUUUGAUCCGUUGCUCGUUAGACAGAACCGUUUGCGCCGUUAGAUUCCUUGGAUUUU